GACGAACGCUGGCGGCGUGCUUAACACAUGCAAGUCGAACGGAAAGGCCCUGCUUUUGUGGGGUGCUCGAGUGGCGAACGGGUGAGUAACACGUGAGUAACCUGCCCUUGACUUUGGGAUAACUUCAGGAAACUGGGGCUAAUACCGGAUAGGAGCUCCUGCUGCAUGGUGGGGGUUGGAAAGUUUCGGCGGUUGGGGAUGGACUCGCGGCUUAUCAGCUUGUUGGUGGGGUAGUGGCUUACCAAGGCUUUGACGGGUAGCCGGCCUGAGAGGGUGACCGGCCACAUUAGGACUGAGAUACGGCCCAGACUCCUACGGGAGGCAGCAGUGGGGAAUAUUGCACAAUGGGCGGAAGCCUGAUGCAGCGACGCCGCGUGCGGGAUGACGGCCUUCGGGUUGUAAACCGCUUUCGCCUGUAACGAAGCGUGAGUGACGGUAAUGGGUAAAGAAGCACCGGCUAACUACGUG
This 468-nucleotide ribosomal RNA is filed under the name uncultured bacterium. RNAcentral describes it as "partial 16S ribosomal RNA". It matches the Rfam family "Bacterial small subunit ribosomal RNA", at positions 28 to 507 of the family's 1533-position model. The record is from RNAcentral.